Molecule: ribosomal RNA, 912 nt
Filed under: Trichophaea abundans
Lineage: Eukaryota; Fungi; Ascomycota; Pezizomycetes; Pezizales; Pyronemataceae
Description: LSU rRNA
Rfam family: Eukaryotic large subunit ribosomal RNA
Source: RNAcentral
GCAUAUCAAUAAGCGGAGGAAAAGAAACCAACAGGGAUUGCCUCAGUAACUGCGAGUGAAGCGGCAAAAGCUCAAAUUUGAAAUCUGGCGCCUUCGGCGUCCGAGUUGUAAUUUGGAGGGGCAUCUUCGGGUUUGGGCGCCGUCCUAAGUUCCUUGGAACAGGACGUCACAGAGGGUGAGAAUCCCGUGCCUGGGCGGCAGUCCAAAUCCAUGUGAAGUGUCUCCGACGAGUCGAGUUGUUUGGGAAUGCAGCUCAAAAUGGGUGGUAAACUUCAUCUAAAGCUAAAUAUUGGCGAGAGACCGAUAGCGCACAAGUAGAGUGAUCGAAAGAUGAAAAGCACUUUGAAAAGAGAGUUAAAAAGUACGUGAAAUUGUUGAAAGGGAAGCGCUUGCGACCAGACUCGGUCUUUGGGGGUCAUCCGGGUUUCGGCUCGGUGCCAUCCCCAUUGAUCGGGCCAGCAUCGGUUCCGGCGGCGGGAUAAAAGGCGAGGGAAUGUGGCUCUCUUCGGGGAGUGUUAUAGCCCUCGUCACAAUGCCGCCAGCUGGGACCGAGGACCGCGCUUCGGCUAGGAUGCUGGCGUAAUGGUCUUAAGCGACCCGUCUUGAAACACGGACCAAGGAGUCUAACAUCUAUGCGAGUGUUCGGGUGGAAAACCCUUGCGCGUAAUGAAAGUGAACGGAGGUGGGAACCCUUCGGGGUGCACCAUCGACCGGUCCUGAUGUCUUCGGAAGGAUCUGAGUAAGAGCAUAGCUGUUGGGACCCGAAAGAUGGUGAACUAUGCCUGAAUAGGGUGAAGCCAGAGGAAACUCUGGUGGAGGCUCGCAGCGGUUCUGACGUGCAAAUCGAUCGUCAAAUUUGGGUAUAGGGGGCGAAAGACUAAUCGAACCAUCUAGUAGCUGGGUUCCUGCCGA